ACGGGAGGCAGCAGUGGGGAAUAUUGGACAAUGGGGGAAACCCUGAUCCAGCGACGCCGCGUGAGUGAAGAAGUAUUUCGGUAUGUAAAGCUCUAUCAGCAGGAAAGAAAAUGACGGUACCUGACUAAGAAGCCCCGGCUAACUACGUGCCAGCAGCCGCGGUAAUACGUAGGGGGCAAGCGUUAUCCGGAUUUACUGGGUGUAAAGGGAGCGUAGACGGUUUUGCAAGUCAGAAGUGAAAGCCCGGGGCCCAACCCCGGAACUGCUUUUGAAACUGUAGAACUGGAGUGCAGGAGAGGUAAGUGGAAUUCCUAGUGUAGCGGUGAAAUGCGUAGAUAUUAGGAGGAACACCAGUGGCGAAGGCGGCUUACUGGGCUGUAACUGACGUUGAGGCUCGAAGGCGUGGGGAGCAAACAGGAUUAGAUACCCUGGUA
This 434-nucleotide ribosomal RNA is filed under the name uncultured Clostridium sp. Its description in RNAcentral is "partial 16S ribosomal RNA". It matches the Rfam family "Bacterial small subunit ribosomal RNA", at positions 341 to 792 of the family's 1533-position model. The record is from RNAcentral. Lineage: Bacteria; Bacillati; Bacillota; Clostridia; Eubacteriales; Clostridiaceae.